RNAcentral lists this ribosomal RNA (422 nucleotides) under uncultured bacterium. RNAcentral describes it as "partial 16S ribosomal RNA". It matches the Rfam family "Bacterial small subunit ribosomal RNA", at positions 360 to 774 of the family's 1533-position model. The record is from RNAcentral.
AAUAUUGGACAAUGGGCUAAAGCCUGUUCUAGUCAUGCGGCUUUUUUGAAUUAGGUCUACUGUUUGUAAAGCACUUUAAGUUGGGAGGAAGGGCAGUAUGUUAAUACCUUGCUGUUUUGACGUUACCGACAGAAUAAGCACCGUCUUACAUAGUGCCAGCAGCCGAGGUAAUACGAAGGGUGCAAGCGUGAAUCGGAAUUAAUGGGCGUAAAGAGGGCAUAGGUGGUUUGUUAAGUUGGAAUUGAACGCCCCGGGAUCAACGUGGGAACUGAUUUCAAAACUGGUAAGCUAGAGUAUGGCAGAGGAUGGAGGAAUUUCCUGUGUAGCGGUGAAAUGCGUAGUUAUAGGAAGGAACACCAGUGGCGAAGGCGACUACCUGGACUGCUACUGACACUGAGGUGCGAAAGCGUGGGGAGCAAACA